Molecule: long non-coding RNA, 862 nt
Filed under: Lupinus angustifolius (narrow-leaved blue lupine)
Lineage: Eukaryota; Viridiplantae; Streptophyta; Magnoliopsida; Fabales; Fabaceae
Description: long non-coding RNA (LANG_LNC001709)
Source: RNAcentral
AAAGGUUAUGUUUACUACGCAACGAGAUCGUCUGACCAUAAGUGGCUUGGCAAUUGGGUCGUCCACAAUGAUUCAGCGAUGGUUCAUAGUGGUGAGGAUAUUAUUCCUCUUUUAUGUUAUGACAUAAGAUCAGGCCCCACAAGAAGCAUUCCUUUGGGAGAUGUCUUAGGCUAGGCCGAUCAUGUAAAAAUAAAUAAUGAUUAAAAUAUUUAAUCGGCUAACCUUGGUUAGUGUGCAUACACAUUAUGAACAAUGAAGUAGUGGAGAUGAAAGUUACAGGAGACGAAUGAGCGCCGAGUUCUUGAGAGGAACGGUGAUAGCGGUGAUGCGUCAACAAAAGCCUUGAGGGAGAGUCUAGGUGAUACGAGUCCCCUGUAUUCAUGGAUGAGGUAUUCAGUUGGAUCAGACAGUUCUCACAGCGUAAACUAGACAAUCUCUGACAACCUCCUUUUGCAACAUUGGAACAUAUCGAUCAUAUAUUCUUGCGAUGAAUAAGUUGGUGCGUACAAAUCGGUUUGUUAUGGGACUUGUACUCUCAGUUAUUUCAGAAUAGUUUAUUGGGAGGAUAUUGGUGUAAGGAUGGAUGAACUGAACAUAGCAUUCAUAUAUUGAACUCGUGGAUAUUGACCCUCAUAUCCUGAGUUACAAACAUCAUUCAUCGUCUACAUUUAUGUAUGUGAUAACAUAGUAUGUAUAUUAUGUGUGUUAUGUCUGGAAGUGAUAUUUUGUAUAAUUCCAUGUUGUCAAUGAAAAAUAUUCAUUAGAUAUCUUACUCUAUUUCUUUCUGCUUGUAUUUCGGUAUAUGUCUUUGUCCAAAUGGACAAAUCAACACAGAUUCAGAGCUACCGAUUCUCGAUUUCCA